AUUGGCUGGGAUGAGGGAUUAUGUACAACUGGCAAGCUGGGAGGGCAGGCCUGUUGGAGACGGCUCGUCCGAUAAUCCACUUGGACCCACAGUCACCAGCAUCUCAGCUUGUUUUCUCUCUCGGCCAUGGCUUCUGUCCCUUGCUUCUCUUUAGGAAUUUAAAAAGAAAAAAAAAAUCAAAAGGAAAAGAAAAUAGAAGCCGAUUCACCGCAGCUGACUCCGGAAAGCGUUACUCCGUCCUCCGCAAAGCUUUUCCCGCACAGGAAAAGCCGAGCCCAUUUGAAAAAUACUUUGUGAGUCCUCUGGUUCGACGUGGUAACUGAACUUUUUUUUUUCCCCUCCUCUUGGAGUCAUUCCUGCUACACGUUGGCUGUUUAUCUGGCCCCAGGGUGGAACCCGGCUCGGCCGCGAUCCUGGCAGCGGUUCUUCAUUGACCAUCCCGAUCCGAGCGGCUGCUGCUGGGGUAAACGACAGCGCUUUCUGGAAGGCCGAGGGUGCCCUCUGGCGAAGCAGGGCCGCCAGUGACAGAGGCAUGGAGGCUGGGGACCGCAAGCACCAAGAUCGUGUCCACGGCUCAGGCUCCACGCAAGAGCAAGGGCCGCUCCUUUCCAGUCUGAUUGAGUACCUGGCUCCAGACCAUUUCCCAGAAGGGUUUCUAGAUCUUUCC
This 667-nucleotide long non-coding RNA is filed under the name Mus musculus (house mouse). Its description in RNAcentral is "predicted gene, 48008". Lineage: Eukaryota; Metazoa; Chordata; Mammalia; Rodentia; Muridae. The record is from RNAcentral.